CAAUAGCGUAUAUUUAAGUUGUUGCAGUUAAAAAGCUCGUAGUUGGAUUUCGGUUAAGAGCGACCGGUCCGCCGUUUGGUGUGCACUGGUUGGUUUUAACUUCCUGUAGAGGACGUGCUCUGGGUUUAACGACCUGGACUCGGAGUCUACGUGGUUACUUUGAAAAAAUUAGAGUGUUCAAAGCGGGCUUACGCUUGAAUAUUUCAGCAUGGAAUAACACUAUAGGACUCCUGUCCUAUUUCGUUGGUCUCGGGACGGGAGUAAUGAUUAAGAGGAACAGUUGGGGGCAUUCGUAUUUCAUUGUCAGAGGUGAAAUUCUUGGAUUCAUGAAAGACGAACUUCUGCGAAAGCAUUUGCCAAGGAUGUUUUCAUUAA
This 375-nucleotide ribosomal RNA is filed under the name uncultured eukaryote. Its description in RNAcentral is "partial 18S ribosomal RNA". It matches the Rfam family "Eukaryotic small subunit ribosomal RNA", at positions 592 to 976 of the family's 1831-position model. The record is from RNAcentral.